GUAUUAUAGGUUUAUAGGCUUUAUGGGCCCAUUGAUAACGUUCUUUAACAUACAUCGGUGUAUAUAUAAAUCAUAGAAUCUGAAAAGACAGCCAAAGACAAGAACAGCUAUUCAAACAAGAACAGCAACAUCCCAGUAACCCGGAGGUUAGGCUUAUUGUCUUUUCAAGACCUACACAGGGUGCACAUGGUGGAAAGAUAAAAAUGACAGGCGUGCACAUGCUCAGAUAAGAGCCAGCAACAACCCACCAAGUUUACUCUGUAAUGAUCCUUCCGCAGGUUCACCUACGGAAA
Molecule: unclassified non-coding RNA, 293 nt
Filed under: uncultured fungus
Lineage: Eukaryota; Fungi
Description: sequence contains ITS1
Source: RNAcentral